Triticum aestivum (bread wheat) is the source of this 115-nucleotide non-coding RNA. Lineage: Eukaryota; Viridiplantae; Streptophyta; Magnoliopsida; Poales; Poaceae. The record is from Rfam.
GUAUUACUCCCUCCGUUCCGAAUUACUUGUCACAAGUAUGGAUGUAUCUAGAUGUAUUUUAGUUCUAGAUACAUCCAUUUCUACGACGAGUAAUUUGGAACGGAGGGAGUAACAC